GAAUCUGCCUUUAGGUCCGGGACAACCACUGGAAACGGUGGCUAAUACCGGAUGUGCCGCAACGUGAAAGGGGAAACCCGCCUGAAGAUGAGCUCGCGUCUGAUUAGCUAGUUGGUGAGGUAAAGGCUCACCAAGGCGACGAUCAGUAGCUGGUCUGAGAGGAUGACCAGCCACACUGGGACUGAGACACGGCCCAGACUCCUACGGGAGGCAGCAGUGGGGAAUUUUCCGCAAUGGGCGAAAGCCUGACGGAGCAAGACCGCGUGAGGGAAGAAGGCUCUUGGGUCGUAAACCUCUUUUGUCAGGGAAGAACACAAUGACGGUACCUGACGAAUCAGCCUCGGCUAACUCCGUGCCAGCAGCCGCGGUAAUACGGAGGAGGCAAGCGUUAUCCGGAAUUAUUGGGCGUAAAGCGUCCGUAGGUGGCAGUUCAAGUCCAUUGUCAAAGCGUGGAGCUUAACUCCAUAAAGGCAGUGGAAACUGAAUCGCUGGAGUGCGACAGGGGCAAGGGGAAUUCCUAGUGUAGCGGUGAAAUGCGUAGAGAUUAGGAAGAACACCGGUGGCGAAAGCGCUCUACUGGACUGCAACUGACACUCAGGGACGAAAGCUAGGGGAGCG
This 618-nucleotide ribosomal RNA is filed under the name uncultured cyanobacterium. Its description in RNAcentral is "bacterial SSU rRNA". It matches the Rfam family "Bacterial small subunit ribosomal RNA", at positions 122 to 770 of the family's 1533-position model. The record is from RNAcentral. Lineage: Bacteria; Bacillati; Cyanobacteriota.